AAUCCUCCAAUCCACA
Molecule: transfer RNA, 16 nt
Filed under: Leptasterias leptodoma
Lineage: Eukaryota; Metazoa; Echinodermata; Asteroidea; Forcipulatida; Asteriidae
Description: partial tRNA-Ala
Source: RNAcentral